Molecule: long non-coding RNA, 1056 nt
Organism: Triticum aestivum (bread wheat)
Lineage: Eukaryota; Viridiplantae; Streptophyta; Magnoliopsida; Poales; Poaceae
Exons: 2
Source: RefSeq, a predicted model, not a curated record
CUUGGAUGAAGAGAUAGGACCGGUCAGUUUGGGAUCGAUACGCAGGAUACUUCUUCUCUAGAAGAACUGACUGACACAAUAAAGCGCGCCGCCGCCCAGGUCUCCUCUCCAUUGCAGUUGCAGCCUCCGCCUGGCUCUGGCUGGAUCCUCAGCCCACCGCCGCUUCGACCCGGAAGCGAAUUUCUCUCCUUCUUCUGCGUUGCUAUCGGAGAACGGUUAACAUCAGUUGACACUCUAUCAAGGUGCAGACACAGCUGCUGACCAAUAAUUUGGGUCAUGUCUACCCCCGCUUGCAAAGACGGGGCUAAUCUUGACGACAACCAUCCCAACGGGCGACGUGCCAAGUCCAAGCAUGGUCACACAGAUGAUCCCAAUAACCCGUUUAACCCCAAGAACCGCGGGCCAUUCAUCAUGUGUGCCUUCUUCUUUACAUUUAUAAUUUCCCUCUGCUGCAUGAUUGUGAUCGCAGCUGUCAACGAGGCCCAACCACCUGGCGUUGGCGAUCUCUUCGUCCGACUUAUAGGCAAAAGUGGGCUUGAUCCUGGCACCUCUCCGCCGACUUCGCCGGCUUUCCACCUUGCCUUGGACUUCAAUUGGACACCACGAAGAUACCGGCGCUGCAGCGGAGGAGGCAACUCGUUGCUGCGUGUCUCCUACCAUGACAUGAUCCUGGCGUGGGCUCAAGUGCCACAUUUCUGCGUCUACGGCCACUGGGGCAUUGACAGUGUUGGUACCUUCGAGGUGGAGGCCAAGGCGCCUCCGUGCUGCGAGAGGAGGUGCGCAACUUGCUUUGGAGCGAGAUUCAGGUCGUGGGGAAGGUCGAGUUCUACGUGGAAGGAGAGGUGGCGGGCCUAGGGUAUCUUCGCUGCAAGUUCUUCGUCAUAAAAGAUAAGGCUGCGGAUGUGGCCAAGAGCCUGUGCAUCCUCCGCCAGUAGGCUGGACCUAUGACUUCUGAUAAGGGUGUUAUAUAUCCUCCCUUCUGUCACUGGAUUACAUUUACUUUUGUAAUAGCUGCUAUAUUCUGCUUUGAAAUGAAACAAAAAAACUUCAGCUGCA